Molecule: ribosomal RNA, 253 nt
Filed under: uncultured bacterium
Lineage: Bacteria
Description: partial 16S ribosomal RNA
Rfam family: Bacterial small subunit ribosomal RNA
Source: RNAcentral
UACGGGGGGGGCAAGCGUUGUUCGGAAUCACUGGGCGUAAAGGGCGUGUAGGCGGUCAGGUAAGUGGGACGUGAAAUCCCUCGGCUCACCCGAGGACCUGCGUCCCAUACUGCUUGGCUUGAGUAUGGGAGAGGAUGAGGGAAUUCCUGGUGUAGCGGUGAAAUGCGUAGAUAUCAGGAGGAACACCGGUGGCGAAGGCGCUCAUCUGGCCCAAUACUGACGCUGAGGCGCGAAAGCUAGGGGAGCAAACGGG